UAUUUACACUUUAAUUUUACAGAGCUCUACUGAUUUCCAGUAUUGACCACGAAAACUACACUUUUCAGUGCUGUCGAAGAAUGUUUGCAUACAAAGACGACGACUUCAUUUGAUAUUGAAAGAAGCGAAUACACGUAGUGACCGUGAAAAUGUCAAAAAUCCUGAAGAAGUUGAGUUACCUGGACUUUCCGGAGAACUCCAGACAGGCUUUGCAGUAUGUGGCUUCCUGCUAUUCGGAUGGCUCUACACAUCAUGGUCUGUCUAUUCCUGGUCUGGAAUCGGCCUCGGAGAACUGGGCAUACGAAGUCUGUCAUGAAUACGUCUACUUCAACCCGUCCUCCAGACGCGGUGCACAGAAGCUGAAUGCUGUUCAAGAACUUCAGCUCCUCGAGAUGUUGAGCAGUUGUUUGAGUGAGGCCAGUGAGGGGUCGCGAUACAGUAUAUUUAAUGCCAUAUUUGGAGGCUCCCCCGAGGGGUACAAAAUUAUUUUACUGACCAAACUGGUGUCCAUGGCGUUGUCCGUGGGUCUUAGUCCUGUACUGGAUUGUGCAGCAUUGUGGAUGCAGGAACACGGUUGUCAUAGUAAGAUGUCAUGUGAUCUGUCACACAGUUUGGUGGAGGACUAUUGCGUGCUCUUUCCAGAGGUCAGUCAGACGUUUCAGAAACUCCCCAAAAUCUCGCCUCUCUUCACCUGUAACUUCAUCACGGCUGUUGCUACCAUCUAUCCAUUUGAUGGGAAUGCUUUCCAAAAGCCCCCUCCCCUGUCAUUGCUUCGCUAUAUCACAGAGUGGGUGACCUCUGACCCCUGUUUGUGUUCAGAAUCCGUCCGCCUGUCACGCAUUCAGGCCAAUUUCUCCUGCCCAUUCAUGGGGCUGGUGCAGUGGUGCAUUCUGGGACAUUUAUAUACACAGUGUCAAGUGACAAAUGAAACAGAAAAGACUGAAGUUCUUGGACUUCUAUCAAAACUCCAUUUUGGAAUUCUUCAGAGUUUGUUUGCCUAUAAAAGCAUGGAGCUGAAUCAGGCUCUUUUCUAUAUGCCUCAUUUUGUGUCCUUGUCUGAAGCGCUGAUACAAUUGCAUAAAGGGUGCAAGAGUGAGGAGACCUUGAACUUGUUGAUUGAGAAGAUCGGACAAGUCAUUCAGGUUGCUAUGGUGACAGGAAGCCUGAAAGAAGAAAAAGGUUUCCAUGGUUUAAAACAAAUCUGCAGCACAUUACCACACAACAGGUGAGUGAGAGGUGUCAUAUAGCUUAGUUAUAUCCAAUACCACACAACAGGUGAGUGAGAGGUGUCAUAUAGCUUAGUUAUAUCCAAUACCACACAACAGGUGAGUGAGAGGUGUCAUAUAGCUUAGUUAUAUCCAAUACCACACAACAGGUGAGUGAGAGGUGUCAUAUAGCUUAGUUAUAUCCAAUACCACAUCUGUAUUUACUACAGCAAAUUACACAACAGGUGAGUGAAAGGUGUCAAGGUCAAAGCAUGUGACUGAUAAUCCACAAUCAAACAUGGCUGUGGUUUCUAGAUGGUACAUGUGUAUUGCAAAUACAAUUACAACUUAGCAAUGAAUGGAUGACCCCUAAAUUUUUUUUUAGAUCAAAUGAUCAAAGUUCAAAUUCACAAGUUUGCAUGAGGUUACAAAAGUUUAAUGGAUACUGUGUUUAAACUUUGUAAGAAAUGUCUUUAUAAAAUGAAAUGAAACAAAAAUAACUGUCACAGGCACUUAAUUAAUUCACAGGAGUUGCUCAUUAGGAUGGAACAUGGUCAUGAGAGGGGCACAGUGUUUCGUGAAUGAAUCUUGCUUCCAUAGUGAAUUAAUUAUACAUGUGAUGUUAAAGGACAUAUCUCAUGUUUUCAAAGUAUACAAUAUUACAUGCAUUUUGUCUUCUUUAUGCUUAUAGUAAUUAAUUCUAAUAUUUCGUUCGCCGAAAUUUUGCGAUAAUUAACCACAAUACAGACUAAGCCCCGAUUUCAAAAAGUCAAGUUAAUUAGGUAGGUAGUCACGUGGUACUGUGACGUCACAUGCGCCCUUCAGAUUGUGAAAGUACUGCGAGAUAUUAUUAAAAACUCAACUUUUAGGGGCCUAAUUAAUUUACCAUGGGCAACAUUUAAAUCGAUGUUGAUAGAUUGUCCGAGUUUUAUAUGUGUUCGCCACCAGUGCACACAUAUAACGAUGUAAAUACCCAAAUAUAGCGAGUAAAGCGUGUAUGAAAUCGGCAAAAUUGUGAGUAAAUAAUGUUUAUAUGGGUCGCUGUCUACAAACUGUUUGGGGAUGUUAUUCCUUUAUACAUCUGUAAUUGGCGCUGUUUUUCUAAAAUAAACAGUGCAAUCAUUAUUUUCUUUUGGAUUAGACAAAUUAUGAUACGUUAAAUUGUUGACAACUAGGCCCUAUGCCAAGCUAUUGUCACGCGUGCAUUUCGGAAAGAAAGAAAAAGACAACACACACACAGAUCAAUAAAAAUAUUCAAAUUUAAAGUGGUAAUCACAUUAUUUUAUUUUGAUAAAGCAAUCUUAUUACUAUUUUUGAAUUGUGAUCUUCACGUCUUUAGGAAGUACGAAGUGGGAGCACGGCGUUAUAGCCUACUGACGCACUCAAGAUGCUACGAGUUCAAUAAAGAAAUAAUUUUAUAAUUCAAUUUAAAGUUAGGAAAUACAAUAUUCGAUUAUUUGUAUAAUUAAAAGUUCAAUUAUUUUGUAUCUUUAUUUUUUGUUGUUGUAAAUCUACCAGUUGGUAGAAGUUACAUUGUAUCGUCGAUAUAUGUUGUUACAAGGUGAAGGUCAGUUGAUCCGAGUGUGUAUUGAAUUUGAAGAGCAAAACAGAAUGUAUGCUAUAGGCCUACCAGUGCUAUAGUUUCGAUAUAUCCAUUUUCUCGCAGUUUAUCAGGGUCUCUGUCCAAGCGAUGUUUGAAAAGGUGACUGGGUGUGUUUUUUAAGGUAAAGUUCUUGCUCCAACAAAAAAAUUAUCCACGUCUUUUUAUGCCCCCCUUUGAAAAAGAGGGGACAUAUUGUUUUGCACCUGUCGGUCGGUCGGUAUGUCGGUCGGUCGGUAUGUCGGUCGGUCUGUAGACCAUGUGUUGUCCGCUCAAUAUCUUGAGAACCAUUCACUUGAUGAUAAUGAUAUUUCAUAUGUGGGUUAGUUAUGAGUAGAAGAGGAUCCCUAUUGUUUUUCAGGUCCAAAGGUCAAGGGUCAAUUUACUCUGGACAUAGGAAUAUAAUGUCCGCUCAAUAUCUUGAGAACCCUUUGUUUGAAAGACAUCAAACUUGGCACACUGGUACAUCCUAAGGAGUAGAUGACCCCUAAUGAUUUUGAGGUCAUAUGGUCAAAGGUCAAGGGUCAAACUGGGCAUAGGAAUAUACUGACCAUUCAAUGUCUAGAGAACCCUUUACUUGACAGACAUCAAACUUGGUACGCCAGUACAUCUUCAGAAGAAGAUGACCCCCAUUGAUUUUAUGGUCAAAGGUCAAGGGUCAAACUGGACAUAGGAAUAUACUGUCCGUUAAAUAUCUCGAGAACCCUUUGCUUGACAGACAU
RNA transcript from Ostrea edulis (European flat oyster), 3527 nucleotides. It is a transcript of the gene named integrator complex subunit 15-like, with no coding region annotated. The transcript has 7 exons. The record is from RefSeq and is a predicted model, not a curated record. NCBI's taxonomy places the organism in Eukaryota, Metazoa, Mollusca, Bivalvia, Ostreida, Ostreidae.